AAAGGUGGUUGUUGUGUCCUC
RNAcentral lists this non-coding RNA (21 nucleotides) under Arabidopsis thaliana (thale cress). The record is from RNAcentral. Lineage: Eukaryota; Viridiplantae; Streptophyta; Magnoliopsida; Brassicales; Brassicaceae.